GACGAACGCUGGCGGCGUGCUUAACACAUGCAAGUCGAACGGUGAAGCGCCUUCCUUUUUGGUGGGUGUGGAUGAGUGGCGAACGGGUGAGUAACACGUGAGUAACCUGCCCCCUUCUUCUGGAUAACCGCAUGAAAGUGUGGCUAAUACGGGAUAUUCUGGUUCUGUCGCAUGAUGGUUCUGGGAAGGAUUUUGUUUCGUUGGGGGAUGGGCUCGCGGCCUAUCAGCUUGUUGGUGGGGUGAUGGCCUACCAAGGCGGUGACGGGUAGCCGGCCUGAGAGGGUGGACGGUCACACUGGGACUGAGACACGGCCCAGACUCCUACGGGAGGCAGCAGUGGGGAAUAUUGCACAAUGGGCGCAAGCCUGAUGCAGCGACGCCGCGUGAGGGAUGGAGGCCUUCGGGUUGUGAACCUCUUUCGCCAGUGAAGCAGGCCUGCCUCGUUUGUGGGUGGGUUGACGGUAGCUGGAUAAGAAGCGCCGGCUAACUACGUG
RNAcentral lists this ribosomal RNA (494 nucleotides) under uncultured bacterium. RNAcentral's name for it is "partial 16S ribosomal RNA". It matches the Rfam family "Bacterial small subunit ribosomal RNA", at positions 28 to 507 of the family's 1533-position model. The record is from RNAcentral.